CCCGCCGGCGACCGGCGCACGGGUGAGUAACACGUAUGCAACCUGGCCGCCACAGGGGGAUAACCCGCGGAAACGCGGCCUAAUACCCCGUGACGCCACCGGAGGGCAUCCUCCGGUGGCCAAAGGAGCGAUCCGGUGGCGGAUGGGCAUGCGGCGCAUUAGCUAGACGGGCGGGGGUGACGGCCCACCGUGGCGACGAUGCGUAGGGGUUCUGAGAGGAAGGCCCCCCACACUGGGACUGAGACACGGCCCAGACUCCUACGGGAGGCAGCAG
This 274-nucleotide ribosomal RNA is filed under the name uncultured bacterium. RNAcentral describes it as "partial 16S ribosomal RNA". It matches the Rfam family "Bacterial small subunit ribosomal RNA", at positions 84 to 354 of the family's 1533-position model. The record is from RNAcentral.